AUGCGAUAAGUAAUGUGAAUUGCAGAAUUCAGUGAAUCAUCGAAUCUUUGAACGCACAUUGCGCCCCCUGGUAUUCCGGGGGGCAUGCCUGUUCGAGCGUCAUUUCACCACUCAAGCCUCGCUUGGUAUUGGGCGACGCGGUCCGCCGCGCGCCUCAAAUCGACCGGCUGGGUCUUCUGUCCCCUCAGCGUUGUGGAAACUAUUCGCUAAAGGGUGCCACGGGAGGCCACGCCGAAAAACAAACCCAUUUCUAAGGUUGACCUCGGAUCAGGUAGGGAUACCCGCUGAACUUAA
RNAcentral lists this unclassified non-coding RNA (294 nucleotides) under uncultured Cladosporium. RNAcentral describes it as "partial contains 5.8S ribosomal RNA, internal transcribed spacer 2, and large subunit ribosomal RNA". The stretch from base 1 to 102 matches the Rfam family "5.8S ribosomal RNA", at positions 53 to 154 of the family's 154-position model. The record is from RNAcentral. Lineage: Eukaryota; Fungi; Ascomycota; Dothideomycetes; Cladosporiales; Cladosporiaceae.